RNAcentral lists this ribosomal RNA (351 nucleotides) under Triticum aestivum (bread wheat). RNAcentral's name for it is "partial small subunit ribosomal RNA". The record is from RNAcentral. Lineage: Eukaryota; Viridiplantae; Streptophyta; Magnoliopsida; Poales; Poaceae.
AUGGGAUCUCAUGCUGAGAAAGUUGGAAUCCGGGUAGGUGAUAUUAUUGGACACAUUGGUGGAGAACCCGUUUCGACCACAAUUGAGUUGGAAAACAAGUUGCUAAGCAUAUCAAUGAGCAGUUUUGAUGUAGGAAAUGACACUAAUGCCAAAUUGGAUGUUUCUGUGCGUGUAUUUCGCACGGCCAACUGUCUCUGGAGGAAAAAGCAUUUGACUGUAAAUGUAUCUGAUCAUCAAGAAGUAGUUGAACGAGCUUAUUAUCCUAUCAUUAAUGGAGAACGGUUUUCUAUUGUGUCGUCGCCUGACCAAGUUGACUCAGACUCGGACUCAGAAUUGAACUCGGAUGAGUGA